Molecule: ribosomal RNA, 497 nt
Filed under: uncultured bacterium
Lineage: Bacteria
Description: partial 16S ribosomal RNA
Rfam family: Bacterial small subunit ribosomal RNA
Source: RNAcentral
GAUGAACGCUGGCGGCGUGCCUAAUACAUGCAAGUCGAGCGGACGGACAAUAAGCGUUCUCCUCUGCCGUUGGCGGGGGGCGGGUGGGUGAGGCGUGCAUAGCCAUCCUAUAAUACGGGGGGGAUUACGGGGAAACAGUGAUGCUACUACAUCAUACAACGAACGGCAUGAAGCAAGAGUGCUUGACGGUUUUGCUGUCUCUUAUAGCUGAAUCCGCGCCGCAUUAGCUAGUUGGUAAGGUAAAGGCUUACCAAGGCAACGAUGCGUAGCCGACCUGAGAGGAUGAUCAGCCACACUGGAACUGAGACACGGUCCAGACUCCUACGGGAGGCAGCAGUAGGGAAUAUUGGGCAAUGGGCGCAAGCCUGACCCAGCCAUACCGCGUGGGUGAAGAAGGCCUUCGGGUUGUAAAGCCCUUUUGUUGGGAAAGAAAAGAAGCAGGUUAAUCCCCCGAUGUUCUGACGGUACCCAAAGAAUAAGCACCGGCUAACUUCGUG